Molecule: ribosomal RNA, 492 nt
Filed under: uncultured bacterium
Lineage: Bacteria
Description: partial 16S ribosomal RNA
Rfam family: Bacterial small subunit ribosomal RNA
Source: RNAcentral
AGUGAACGCUGGCGGUAGGCCUAACACAUGCAAGUCGAACGGCAGCACAGUAAGAGCUUGCUCUUACGGGUGGCGAGUGGCGGACGGGUGAGGAAUACAUCGGAAUCUACUUUUUCGUGGGGGAUAACGUAGGGAAACUUACGCUAAUACCGCAUACGACCUACGGGUGAAAGCAGGGGAUCUUCGGACCUUGCGCGAUUGAAUGAGCCGAUGUCGGAUUAGCUAGUUGGCGGGGUAAAGGCCCACCAAGGCGACGAUCCGUAGCUGGUCUGAGAGGAUGAUCAGCCACACUGGAACUGAGACACGGUCCAGACUCCUACGGGAGGCAGCAGUGGGGAAUAUUGGACAAUGGGCGCAAACCUGAUCCAGCCAUACCGCUUGGGUGAAGAACGCCUUCGGGUUGUAAAGCCCUUUUGUUGGGAAAGAAAAGCAGCAGGUUAAUACCCCGCUGUUCUGACGGUACCCAAAGAAUAAGCACCGGCUAACUUCGUG